CACGUAGUUAGCCGGGGCUUCUUAGUCAGGUACCGUCAUUUUCUUUCCUGCUGAUAGAGCUUUACGUACCGAAAUACUUCUUCACUCACGCGGCGUUGCUCCGUCAGGCUUUCGCCCAUUGCGGAAGAUUCCCUACUGCUGCCUCCCGUAGGAGUCUGGACCGUGUCUCAGUUCCAGUGUGGCCGAUCACCCUCUCAGGUCGGCUACGUAUCGUCGCCUUGGUAAGCCGUUACCUUACCAACUAGCUAAUACGGCGCGGGUCCAUCUAUAAGUGAUAGCAAAACCAUCUUUCACUUUAGAACCAUGCGGUUCUAAAUGUUAUCCGGUAUUAGCUCCGGUUUCCCGAAGUUAUCCCAGUCUUAUAGGUAGGUUACCCACGUGUUACUCACCCGUCCGCCGCUAACUUCAAAGGAGCAAGCUCCUUAUCUGUUCGCUCGACUUGCAUGUAUUAGGCACGCCGCCAGCGUUCAUCCUGAGCCAGGAUCAAACUCU
RNAcentral lists this ribosomal RNA (492 nucleotides) under uncultured Staphylococcus sp. RNAcentral describes it as "partial 16S ribosomal RNA". The record is from RNAcentral. Lineage: Bacteria; Bacillati; Bacillota; Bacilli; Caryophanales; Staphylococcaceae.